UGACAAUGAUCCAUAUCCUAUGGGAUUGAGAAACUACUUAUUCUAAAUCCAAAUAGCACCGGCUUGUAUAAGCAAUG
This 77-nucleotide small RNA is filed under the name Salix viminalis (osier). The record is from RNAcentral. Lineage: Eukaryota; Viridiplantae; Streptophyta; Magnoliopsida; Malpighiales; Salicaceae.